AAUCAGAGCAUAAAUCGCACGAGUUCUUGGUAAAUCGAUCAAGGGUUCCUCUGAUUUCAAAGUCAAUCGCAAGUCGGAUUUGGUUUUAAUCGCACGUUCUUAUCUUGGCAUUCCUUGUUACACUUAAUCGGUCACAGACAGUCUCACAUCUUCACCAUCACAGCAACCACCUUUAGCUAUGCACUGUGCAACAGCUUCGUGGUAAUCCCCAACAACCAAAGCACGUUGAACAGCAUAAAGAUCCUUCAAUCCCAAGGGUUCUGCUGCUGAGUUUGUACAGAUGUCUGUGGUGCUAACCAAAGCUGGACACUUAAAUGAAUUCAAGAUAAUGUGAACAAGAGAGGCUUCUUGGUACAUGAGUUGCAACAAGGGGUUGUUUCUGAGCAGAUAUCUAAUUCAAAUAGAUCAUAUUGGUUUUUUUUGAGCAGAUAUCUAAUUCAAAUAGAUCAUAUGAAAUUGGUGCACAUGGUAGUUUGAAUCUAUUGGAGGUCAACAUCAGACAAACAGUCAGUACCCAGGUUUGCUUCAACGAGUACCCAGGUUUACUUGUGCACUCCUUAUGAACCUCAGUUUCAUUCGAGGUAGUUUUCUGUAAAUACCACUUUUAUUUUACUUGGCAACAGAUCUAAUUUUGCUUAUAAUAUGAUGAUGCGAGGGAUGAUGAUGUGUGGCUUAUUUUGUUAAACUUGAUAUAGAGACAGGUUCUUUGUUGAUUUCAUUUUAUUGGUUAAUUGCUGAUUUUGUAACUUGAUUUGUAUUUGGUUAUACUUGCUGCAAGGCUAAAUUACUUCUCGGGAUUCACUUGGCGUUGGCAAUUCUGAGAUGCAACAUUUUGGUGGCAAGCAUUAUUCAAAGUAAAGCUGCAAGGAACUACAUAACACAAAGGGUCCAUUGGGGACACACAAGGAGAAAGGGCCACAUCCUCAGAAAACAAAUUCCCAUAAUUACUAGAUUCCUCAUAUGAAUUCUUAUCUGAAGUGAUAUGUUCCUUCCCUGGUAUACAUAUCAAGGCUGCUUAAACAUGGUCUAGCAAGAAAAGUUGUUGCUUUUCAAAUCAUUUGAGGAUUUUAGCGACAAAUUGAUCCACGACAACGCAGCAGUAGAGAUUUUGGUCUCGUAAUCGAUGAUUUGUGGCAUCACAAGUCUCGUAGUCUGUUCUUGUUUUUGCACUUUAUCAAGCAGAUGGACACAAAUUAGAAUGUGUUAAUCUUUGUUUGCUGUUUGAAAUUGCUCUUGAGGUUGUGUUGUAUUGUAUUGUACUGUAUCAUCAUUUCUGUAAUUGUAAUCGUUUCUGUCGAUUUGGUCU
Cynara cardunculus var. scolymus (artichoke) is the source of this 1306-nucleotide long non-coding RNA. RefSeq lists it as uncharacterized. NCBI's taxonomy places the organism in Eukaryota, Viridiplantae, Streptophyta, Magnoliopsida, Asterales, Asteraceae. The record is from RefSeq and is a predicted model, not a curated record. The transcript is spliced from 3 exons.